GGAGGGUUGGCGGAAUGGCAACGCGCGGCACUCGAAAUGCCGUGGAGGAUUUCCUCCUUGCAGGUUCGAAUCCUGCACCCUCCG
RNAcentral lists this transfer RNA (84 nucleotides) under Candidatus Parcubacteria bacterium. Its description in RNAcentral is "tRNA-Ser". It matches the Rfam family "tRNA". Rfam says of the family: Transfer RNA (tRNA) molecules are approximately 80 nucleotides in length. Their secondary structure includes four short double-helical elements and three loops (D, anti-codon, and T loops). The record is from RNAcentral. Lineage: Bacteria; Candidatus Parcubacteria.